AACCAUUUUUACACUACAGCUGGCUGAUGGUUCACUCCUGCGUUUCUGUCUUCUCAUAAUUGAUAUGCUCGUAAGAAAUCAAAUAAAGAAUAAUUUAUAAACUGGGGAGAAAUCGUGGAUACUUAUUUAAAAAAGAAUAUGGUUUAUAUUCUUCUAUUCUUCUACUUUCUUUAAUUUCGCCCCAGAAACUAAAAUUUGAAAAGCAGAAUAUUCCCUAUCUUAACCAUUUCGCAAGUUUUACGGAGAUAAGUUUUGAUUUGGAGCGACGCUGUAAAAGUAAAUAUUCCUAAUUUAGGUAACUACAAAUAAAAAAAAUUAUGUGGAUAUGUAGAUCAUGUGGUAGUUAUAUAGAGAAUAU
Molecule: small RNA, 358 nt
Filed under: Arabidopsis thaliana (thale cress)
Lineage: Eukaryota; Viridiplantae; Streptophyta; Magnoliopsida; Brassicales; Brassicaceae
Description: ATSL194120
Source: RNAcentral